UAAUACGAAGGGUGCAAGCGUUACUCGGAAUUACUGGGCGUAAAGCGUGCGUAGGUGGUUUGUUAAGUCUGAUGUGAAAGCCCUGGGCUCAACCUGGGAAUUGCAUUGGAUACUGGCAGGCUAGAGUGCGGUAGAGGAUGGCGGAAUUCCCGGUGUAGCAGUGAAAUGCGUAGAGAUCGGGAGGAACAUCUGUGGCGAAGGCGGCCAUCUGGACCAGCACUGACACUGAGGCACGAAAGCGUGGGGAGCAAACAGGAUUAGAUACCCUGGUAGUCCACGCCCUAAACGAUGCGAACUGGAUGUUGGGAGCAACUAGGCUCUCAGUAUCGAAGCUAACGCGUUAAGUUCGCCGCCUGGGGAGUACGGUCGCAAGACUG
Molecule: ribosomal RNA, 377 nt
Filed under: uncultured bacterium
Lineage: Bacteria
Description: bacterial SSU rRNA
Rfam family: Bacterial small subunit ribosomal RNA
Source: RNAcentral